CACACAGCAAUAGCACAGCCUGUGCCCUGCUGGGAGGUGGCUGACACCACAGUGAUGGACUCCACUGCCCCAUGUUCCUCCUGCCAGUGCUGCCCAGAGCACUGCCAGCAGUGCAUCCUCCCCGUCUCACCCAGCCCAGAUCUCACAUUUCUCUUCUCAUCCCAGAACUGAUGCCUCAGGCUCUGGGCUCUCUCCACCCCUUGAUGUUGGUGCCCCAUGGUCUGUCAGUCAGUGGGGCAGAACAUGGGGCAGGAGGCAGCACAUGGCUCUGUUUCUGUGCCCCAGGACACCAACACCCCCAGCACCCCCAGCCCUGCCUGGAGGCAUCUCCCCCCCAGGACCACUGGGGAAAGACCCACCUCUGCGCCGAGCCCUGGCACUUCGCACCUGCCCAGCCAGGAGGGCCAGGAGCAGGCAGAGGAGGGCCCCCAGGAUGAUGCAGAUGACGACAGACACUGAGAGUCCCUCUCUGGUGGUGGUCGGACGGCCCCGUGGGGGAUCUGCAAGGGCAGGAACAUGGCAGGGGCAGCAAGGGAGAGGUUGGGGGUGGGACAAGGUAGCGCUGACCACAAAAAGCAGCAGGGGCUGGGGGGGACAGAGCUGGGUGAUGGGGCAGCUCCCACCCUGCUGGGUCCAUCACAGACUUCUCCCAGCUCCCUUGAUUUCCUGGGAGUCUCACAGCCCAGCAAGGAGCCCUUUCUCCUGGCUGUGGGUCACAGCGUGGACAUGGACAGACCCAGCCCUGGGGAAGGACAGCUUACCUGUUUGUGGGGGGGAUGUUGCUGUCCUGGGUGCAGCUGCAGGGGAGCAGAAGGAGAGCUGGGCUGAGAGGCUGGGGCUGUGGCACCAGGCAGCCUCCCUGGCAAAUGACCCCAGCAUGUACCACCUGAAUUGUCCCUCCUUUGGGGCUGGGCAGGGUGGAAGGGACAGGGCCCAGCACCACUGCUCUGGGCUGCUCACAGGACAGUGCAGGCAGCCCAGGGGAUGUGCUGGCACAUCCAGCCCCACAGAGGCUGCUCCCCACCCACCACCAGCCCCCCACUCUGCAGGGACAACCUUGCUCAGGCCUGCACCAGGGCCAUGCCAGGAUCCAGCAGGGCAUACACUCAAUUCAGCUCCUUGCCAAGCCACCAGCCAUGUCUCCCAGCCCCACUGCUCACCUGAGCAAUGCACAGCCGCAUCUGCCUUAUGCUGGCAGGCACUGCUGUCCCCUGGCUGGGCCCAGCAGUCCUGCAGAGACAGCUCCGUCCCCCUGCACUCCAUCAGCCACAUGGGGCCCGUCCCCUCUCCAGCAGCAGCCUGGCCCAGGGCAUAGACGGCGGGGCCACAGCCCAGCUGCCUGCACGCCACCUCGGCGUCCCGCAUGUCCCAGGCAUUGUCACACAGCGUCCCCCAGGUGCCACGGUGCCAGA
This 1412-nucleotide long non-coding RNA is filed under the name Anas platyrhynchos platyrhynchos (common mallard). Its description in RNAcentral is "lncRNA (ENSAPLG00000030310.1)". Lineage: Eukaryota; Metazoa; Chordata; Aves; Anseriformes; Anatidae. The record is from RNAcentral.